This 1098-nucleotide ribosomal RNA is filed under the name uncultured Candidatus Saccharibacteria bacterium. RNAcentral describes it as "bacterial SSU rRNA". It matches the Rfam family "Bacterial small subunit ribosomal RNA", at positions 28 to 1167 of the family's 1533-position model. The record is from RNAcentral. Lineage: Bacteria; Candidatus Saccharimonadota.
GAUGAAUGCUGGCGGCGUGCCUAACACAUGCAAGUCGAGCGGCAGCGAGGGGUGCUUGCACCCUGUCGGCGAGCGGCGGACGGCUGAGUAACGCGUGGGAAUCUACCCUAAAGUGAGGGAUAACCGCCCGAAAGGGUGGCUAAUACCGCAUAUGAUCUUCGGAUUAAAGGAUUUAUCCGCUUUAGGAAGAGCCCGCGUUAGAUUAGGUAGUUGGUAGGGUAAUGGCCUACCAAGCCAACGAUCUAUAGCUGGUCUGAGAGGAUGAUCAGCCAGACUGGAACUGAGACACGGUCCAGACUCCUACGGGAGGCAGCAGUGAGGAAUCUUCCACAAUGGGCGAAAGCCUGAUGGAGCAACGCCGCGUGAAGGAUGAAGGCCUUCGGGUUGUAAACUUCUUUUAUGAGUGAAGAAUAUGACGGUAACUCAUGAAUAAGCACCGGCUAACUACGUGCCAGCAGCCGCGGUCAUACGUAGGGUGCAAGCAUUAUCCGGAGUGACUGGGCGUAAAGAGUUGCGUAGGCGGUUUAAUAAGUGAAUAGUGAAACCUGGUGGCUCAACCAUACAGACUAUUAUUCAAACUGUUAAACUCGAGAGUAGUAGAGGUAACUGGAAUUUCUAGUGUAGGAGUGAAAUCCGUAGAUAUUAGAAGGAACACCAAUGGCGUAGGCAGGUUACUGGACUAUUUCUGACGCUAAGGCACGAAAGCGUGGGGAGCGAACUGGAUUAGAUACCCAGGUAGUCCACGCCGUAAACGAUGGAUACUAGCUGUUGGAGGUAUCGACCCCUUCAGUAGCGAAGCUAACGCGUUAAGUAUCCCGCCUGUGGAGUACGGCCGCAAGGCUAAAACAUAAAGGAAUUGACGGGGACCCGCACAAGCGGUGGAUCAUGUUCUUUAAUUCGAUGAUAAACGAAGAACCUUACCAGGGUUUGACAUCCCGAGAAGAUUUACGAAAGUAGAUUGUGCCUUUUGGAACUCGGUGACAGAUGAUGCAUGGCCGUCGUCAGCUCGUGUCGUGAGAUGUUUGGUUAAGUCCAUCAACGAGCGCAACCCUUGUGAAUAGUUGAAUUUUUCUAUUCAGACUGCCCCGGCAACGGGGA